This 505-nucleotide ribosomal RNA is filed under the name uncultured bacterium. RNAcentral describes it as "partial 16S ribosomal RNA". It matches the Rfam family "Bacterial small subunit ribosomal RNA", at positions 28 to 507 of the family's 1533-position model. The record is from RNAcentral.
GACGAACGCUGGCGGCGUGCCUAAUACAUGCAAGUAGAACGCACAGUUUAUACCGUAGCUUGCUACACCAUAGACUGUGAGUUGCGAACGGGUGAGUAACGCGUAGGUAACCUGCCUGGUAGCGGGGGGUAACUAUUGGCAACUAUAGCUAAUACCGCAUAAUAUUGAUUAUUGCAUGAUAAUUUAUUGAAAGAUGCUAUUGCAUCACUACCAUAUGGACCUGCGUUGUAUUAGCUAGUAGGUGAGGUAACGGCUCACCUAGGCGACGAUACAUAGCCGACCUGAGAGGGUGAUAGGCAACACUGGGACUGAGACACGGCCCAGACUCCUACGGGAGGCAGCAGUAGGGAAUCUUCGGCAAUGGACGAAAGUCUGACCGAGCAACGCCGCGUGAGUGAAGAAGGGUUUCGGAUCGUAAAGCUCUGUUGUAAGAGAAGAACGGGUGUGAGAGUGGAAAGUUCACACUGUGACGGUAUCUUACCAGAAAGGGACGGCUAACUACGUG